Long non-coding RNA from Ostrea edulis (European flat oyster), 887 nucleotides. RefSeq lists it as uncharacterized. The transcript has 4 exons. NCBI's taxonomy places the organism in Eukaryota, Metazoa, Mollusca, Bivalvia, Ostreida, Ostreidae. The record is from RefSeq and is a predicted model, not a curated record.
UCCAAUGAAAAUGCCAGUCAUGGAAAUUUUGAAGCAUUUCACACCACUGUCCAUCUGAAUUUAGAUAACUCUGCUCUGGCUGUGAGAGGGAAUAAGGCCAAAUGUGAGAAAGUGCAGAUAAGUGUUUUUGAGGUAGGGUGCAGUACUUUGAUCUUUUGUGUGCUGUAUUGGGACACCAUAUGGUCAUUGGACUCAAAAUUUUCUGUGGUGGAUUCAAGAAGAGCUGGGAUUGAAAUCUAAAUCAAGCAAGCUAGGGGACAGCAUUUCAAAUGACCAUAACCUUCAAUGAAAUAUGAAGGACAAGGACAAUCGAAACUGUAAGAGCUAUACAUAGGGAUUUGCCCCUUCCCCAAACCUCAGAAGGGCUUCACCACCAUGCCCAUAGAAGGGCUUCACCACCAUGCCCAUAGAAGGGUUUCACCACAGUGCUCAUAGAAGGGCUUCACCAGUGCUCAUAGAAGUGCUUCACCUGACCAUACUGAUAGAAAAGCUACACCACCGUGCCCAUAGGCUUGUUGCCCUCAGCUACUGAUAUUUCCAUUUUUCUCAAAGUUGGCAAGUAUGGUGGUGAUUGAUUGAUUUUGAAAUUCCCUGCUACCAAACUUUGAUUAUGCUAUGUAGAAUUAGGAACUAAUCAUCAUAAACCUUAGUCCUCUUCCAAAAGACAAGAUAUCUUCCCUUUGACAGAUUUGCCUAUCCAUAAUGAUAAAUCCUAUGGCAAGUUCUCUAGGGUAGAUGGGAUUAAAUGGUCCAAAGUGUAAUGUAAGAUAUAAACAUCAUAAAACAGAUUUGAGAUUCUGGCAACAAUUAAAACUAUAUUUGCCAGAAUUAAUGGGCUUAGGCCUCAUGAACCUGUAAUCUAUAGAUCAGUUAUGACAUCACAGCUG